Molecule: ribosomal RNA, 370 nt
Filed under: uncultured organism
Description: partial 16S ribosomal RNA
Rfam family: Bacterial small subunit ribosomal RNA
Source: RNAcentral
GUAGGUGGCAAGCGUUGUCCGGAAUUAUUGGGCGUAAAGCGCGCGCAGGCGGUUCUUUAAGUCUGAUGUGAAGCCCACGGCUCAACCGUGGAGGGUCAUUGGAAACUGUAGAACUUGAGUACAGAAGAGGAAAGCGGAAUUCCACGUGUAGCGGUGAAAUGCGUAGAGAUGUGGAGGAACACCAGUGGCGAAGGCGGCUUUCUGGUCUGUAACUGACGCUGAGGCGCGAAAGCGUGGGGGAGCAAACAGGAUUAGAUACCCUGGUAGUCCACGCCGUAAACGAUGAGUGCUAAGUGUUAGGGGGUUUCCGCCCCUUAGUGCUGCAGCUAACGCAUUAAGCACUCCGCCUGGGAGUACGGCCGCAAGGCUG